Molecule: non-coding RNA, 63 nt
Filed under: unclassified sequences
Description: RAGATH-18 RNA
Rfam family: RAGATH-18 RNA
About the family: Actinobacteria, Firmicutes, Fusobacteria, Thermotogae (1 example). Nearby to self-cleaving ribozyme genes
Source: Rfam by way of RNAcentral
CCUAUGGAGUAUUAUACCAAACUUGAGUAGGUUUUUACGAAAAAGGAUACAGUGAAGUAGGAA